Molecule: unclassified non-coding RNA, 620 nt
Filed under: Bombus terrestris (buff-tailed bumblebee)
Lineage: Eukaryota; Metazoa; Arthropoda; Insecta; Hymenoptera; Apidae
Description: misc RNA ENSBTSG00005022065.1
Source: RNAcentral
AUAUUCCAUUUAAAUGAAGAAUGCAUUUUGAUCUAAAACAAACAGAUUGUCCGUUAAAAUUUAGUACGUGUAUAUGAAAAUUAUUUACAUAUAUUCCUGAUCUAAAUUGAAUUUAGUAAGGAUCAUAUUCUAAUUCUCUUUUGGUGUUAAUAUCAGCUGCGUUUUCGGUGAGGUCUGAAAUCCUUCCAUUGUUUUGAGCAGUGUAGCAUGGCGGGAUCUUGAUAAAGUAUUCCAUAAAAUGUUCAAUGCACGGUUGCCGGAAGCCAUUCUUUUUGCAGAGAACUUUUCUUUCGUGUUGAGUGUGUUUAAGGUCAAGUUUCAAACUAUCUUGGUCUGGUUAGAAAUUAUAUAAAUGGUAGUAAUCAGAGUACGGUUGAAACGUGAGCCAGAAAACAAUAGUAUGCCUAAGCGUUCGAUUACAACAUCAAAUGCCUUCCCAUGACGACAGACGCUUUAAACGGCGGCAGUAGCGAAUUCUGGACGACAGGAAACGUACGAAAUUUACCUAAAUGGCGGGUGAAAAGUACGCAAGAAAAGGAAUGAAACGGGAGCGACCGAGAGGCUACUGGAAAAAGAGAGCAAAAGCGAAUCGUAGUUGGAAGAAGAGAAAACGAGAAUUG